Oryza sativa Japonica Group (Japanese rice) is the source of this 208-nucleotide microRNA precursor. It matches the Rfam family "MIR812 microRNA precursor family". The record is from Rfam. Lineage: Eukaryota; Viridiplantae; Streptophyta; Magnoliopsida; Poales; Poaceae.
AAUAAGUGCAGUUUUGUACUAUUCGCGUUCAACGUUUGACCGUUCGUCUUAUUUGAAAAAUUUUUAUGAUUAGUAUUUUUAUUGCUAUUAUAUGAUAAAACGUGAAUAGUAUUUUAUGUGUGACUAAAUAUUUUUAAAAUUUUCACAAAUUUUUCAAAUAAGACGGACGAUCAAACGUUGGGCACGGAUAUCCACGGAUGCACUUAUU